UACGAGGGGGGCAAGCGUUGUUCGGAAUCAUUGGGCGUAAAGGGCGCGUAGGCGGCCUGGGAAGUUCUGGGUGAAAUCCCUCGGCUCAACCGAGGAAGUGCCUGGGAAACCACUGGGCUGGAGUGCUGGAGAGGGAAGCGGAAUUCCUGGUGUAGCGGUGAAAUGCGUAGAGAUCAGGAGGAACAUCUGAGGCGAAGGCGGCUUCCUGGACAGACACUGACGCUGAGGCGCGAAAGCUAGGGUAG
This 245-nucleotide ribosomal RNA is filed under the name uncultured bacterium. RNAcentral's name for it is "partial 16S ribosomal RNA". It matches the Rfam family "Bacterial small subunit ribosomal RNA", at positions 524 to 768 of the family's 1533-position model. The record is from RNAcentral.